Molecule: small nucleolar RNA, 127 nt
Organism: Arvicola amphibius (Eurasian water vole)
Lineage: Eukaryota; Metazoa; Chordata; Mammalia; Rodentia; Cricetidae
Product: small nucleolar RNA SNORA48
Exons: 1
Source: RefSeq, a predicted model, not a curated record
AGUUCCAGCCAUGGGCAAAGUGACACCUUGGUGAUGGUGUUGUUCUUAUCCGUGAGGGGCAGAGCAGAUGGCAGCUCUUGGUUCAUCCUAGCGUGAUGCCUGGCUGUGUCAUGCCUAGGGCACAUUA